Molecule: long non-coding RNA, 5557 nt
Filed under: Brassica napus (rape)
Lineage: Eukaryota; Viridiplantae; Streptophyta; Magnoliopsida; Brassicales; Brassicaceae
Description: long non-coding RNA (BNAP_LNC023384)
Source: RNAcentral
GAACCCCAAGAACCUGUCCCGGUCCUUCAUUCCUCUUCAGAGUUGUCAAAAAUCUCUCCACUUGAUCAUCUUCCGGGUUGUUGAUUUGAUUCAGUAGCCAGUUAGAAACUUCUUGUACUGUGCUGCAUAAGGAAUGUAUAGAAUCUUUGAUUGCUUGAGACAUCGGGGAGGAAGGUAAAUGAUCCGAAUGUUGCGCUUUCUUCUUCUUCUUCCCAGAUGGGAGAGACGAGCGGGUGCAAGCCUGAAUUACAAGACUGUGCCAAGCCAACGGUUCAGUGAUGAUCUGAACCAAGACCUGCACAUCAGAAUAGCAAGAAUUCAUCUGUGAAGAUCCCAUUGAUUUGAUUCUGUCCAGAAUAAGCCUCUCAAAUAGCAAGUUCAACACAUGCCAAUGCUCUUGGGAACUCAGGCUCCAAGCAUUCCAAAACACGGCAAAAUUCAACCAGUCAACAAGAUCUGAACCGAGCGUCUGCAGAGUUUUCCCACAAAGUCAAUAACAUUAAGACCAGUUGACAUGAGUGCACGUGGAAAGAGUAGAAUAAGCUAACCUCAAAAGUCCUUGCACCCUGUGAGAUCUCUGUGAUCAUCUCUACAGCGUCACUGAAAGAAGAUCCCAACGUUUUGGUGUACUCCUCCAGCAAAGACUUAAGUUCUUCGCAGGUUUUGAGGUCACCUCCAGACCCUUUGGUUUCAAGACUCUCCUUUAAUGCCGUUGCCGAACACUGAAUAGAGAGGUAUACCAUCCGAGGUAGAAGGGAUUUUCUCUGGAUGGAUCGUUUCACGUUUUCUUCACGAUCUUUGUUCUAUAGACAUGUAACAAUUACAAACAUUACUAAAUUGCAUCGGUCCCAAGUACAAGAGAAAGUGUAUUGAUACAGACAAACGUACCACAUUCUCUUUGGGACAGUAAGAAAAAUCUUCAAAUGAACCUACAGACGUUGUUGAUUGAUAUUAAGAAUAGCACCACAACAACAAAAAAAAUAAACAACUAAUAUAGUGAAGGAAAUACUUACCUAAUAGAUAGUUUUUCUCAGGACAAGGUGUCCACCAUGGUCGUGUUUGCAUAUCUUCAUUGAACCUCAGUGUCCUUGAUCCCAUUUCGUUCGAGAGCUCCACAAGCUGAACUCCAGAUUUCAGGUUUUCAAGAACGCGCUAGAUACAACAAGAAUACAUGCAGAGUUAGAUAUUAUUAUGAGAGGAUCAAAUAAAUGGACAUAAUUUACAGGACAAGGAUAUUGCAUUUGUUACCUCUUCUUCCUCGAUGCUAUCUGCAUUCUGCUUCAAUUGCAAUAGAGACGCUUCAACCCUCGCAGCUUCGUACUGGUUUGACUGCUGCAGUCUUUGUUUGAAUAGGACAAAUUCGAUAACCUGAGAUUUGGAUAAUUCAGAUAAGUCACGACAGUAACCAAAUGUACACGGGGAGAUGGUAACGUAGAGAAAUUCAAUAUGUUUACUUUUGAGUAAUUUCUGUGGCGGUAAGCAAGGAAUGUAAGGUCUGCUGACUCUUUCAAAUGAUCAUCCAUAAACUUGAGAUAGUCUUGUAGGAGGUUAUUUAAAUCUACCCACAUGGGGGAUUCCAACAUUUGGCAAAGAAUAUGGUGUGAAACCGUUUCCGUCAAGAUGUUCUUCACAUCCAGAGCUUUAUACCUAACAGAAGGCAAACAGGUGGUUCAGUAAAACUAGCUGAAGAAGGUUUUAUUUUCCAGGAAAAAAAAAGUAAAAAUGAGAGCUAUGAAUACCGUUCAAAUGCAAGUGGAAGAGCACCAAUAUAUGAAUAUAUGUGUAACAGCAAGAUCUUGUACUGCCAGACAUGUCUGUGAAAACAAAAGGUAAUCAUCAAGUGGCACUGUUAGAAACUCAAAUCAACGUUUUCAUAGCUAUAACAAUUAGUUACUGACCCUCGGAUUGACAAGCCCAACUCAAGAACCAUGAUAGCCUCAGCAAGAUAGCAAAAAUCUCGAGUACGCCAGUAUAACUGGAAACAACAGCAAGGUUACUUAUAUAUAUAACAACUGGUUAUGCAGUAUCGGGGAAGCAUGCAACACAACCAAAGUACCUGGACCAACAUGUUGCUAAUCAAAGAUAGAAGUUCUUCCCCAAACAUACUCUCUUGAGGAUCCAAGUCCUUGGAAAGCGGAAGAUUUUGACAGUAUAACUUCGCCAGUUUGACAGCAGAGGCUUCAAUCUCUACAUAUUGGAAGGAAAGAUGGAAUUAUAAACCGAUGCAGAACACAUGCAGAGCAACUAGAUUGCAAUAAUAAGAAACCCACAUAGUGGAGGCAACAGGAAACUAUGAUGGAAAAUGAUGCAUUACACUGUACACCAAAACAGAGAGAUGUCAUAUGCACAAAAGAGUCGCACAGCUUGUAGAUUCAAAACUGAAUCUUCAUAAGGAGAAAACAUGGAAAUUUUUCGGAAAAAGGUAUGUGAGCAAAGAGAACAUACCGCCAAGAGGAAGCUCAAAGAUGUUUCCCGUCAGUUCUUGAACUUUGAGUAUGGUUGUUGUUUGACCAAGUACUGUGGUUGCUGAUGCAGAAACCGAAUCAGCAUUUUCCACUAACAUUCCGACAAACUCUGCCUUUUUAUGAGGGGGUAAUACAUGUAGGAAUGCUUCAACGUCGGAAGCAUAGCAAGCUAAAUGACCAAAUCUGCAUGCAAAGCGAUACGCAAGUCAGACUCCGUAAGCAAAAGAUAAUAACCGAAAAAGAGUUCAUAGAGAUGUACUUGAGAAAAUAUUGCAGUAACGAUUUUAGUAACUCGCUGUCGUUCUUCUUUCCAUAUAAGAACUUUCUCUUCUCAAUUUCAAUUUCUGCCAAAUGUGGACCCCUUAAGUUACUAUUCUCAGUAUCUCUCUGUAACUUCUGCACCAAUUCUGAAGCACUUGAUAUUCGAGAAUCAAACUGCAUGUUGACAAAGAAAUUGGAUUUUAUAUAUAUGCCAGAAGUUAAGAAAAUAAACAAAGGAACACGAACUGGGAUUUUAAGUCUGGCAAGAGGUUAGUAUUAUCACCAUUUCUUCUGUAAGGUGAGAAAACUUGCAUUCUAUGUUUUUAGUUGGAUGAAUUUGAUCAAUAUCGUCAAAGAAUUUCCACAUGCUGUCAUCUUCAAACAAACAGCCGAGAUAUUGUAGGAAACACUCCCAAUCAUCUGGACUGCCAAGCGAACAAAAAAAACAUGUCAGCAUACCGACAGAAACAAUCGAAAGAUCAAUCCGGAAAGAGAGCCAACUCUGAAAACACUGAGUACACUGUGGCGGGGAGUGUGUUUGCCUCGGAAGGCUCGGUGUUAGUAGUACAGCAACAGGUGAGGAACCAGAAGGGUAGUGGUUUCUUGAAUGGCAAGUUUGAUUACAAGAAGUUAGUGUCUCAUUGGUCUUGUAAUAAUUGUUAGUUAGGACAUAUUGCUUAACUGAUUAGGUUUCUUUUUGUUUUGUACAUUCUGUAUUUUUGGGAUGAUUUUGCUUUCUAAACAAAAUUUGUAUCCAAGUUCAUUGUACAAGCUAAUAAAUUCCAAUGUAGAAGAAGCUUCAGUUGGUUGAUCAAUUUGUUUUUCAUUUUUUUUUUUAUUAUAUGCAGCUACAUUGUUAGAAUUUCACGGAUAUUUCACUAAUAAAAUAAAUAAAUAAAAUUAUUUUUUAUAAGAAAUUUGUAGGUAAAAAAACUUAAAAUAUUAAUGAAAAUUGAGUAAUUAUUUUAAAUGAUUUAUUUAAUUUAAAUAUAUAACUAAGAACUUUUGGCAAUAAAAAUACUCCAAAAACAUCUUCAUAUAUAUGUUUUCAAAAGUUAUUCUGAAACAAAAAUAAGAAAAAAUAUAUAGGUAUCUUGAAAUUUUGUAAAAAUAUUUUAUAUGUUUAUGAGAUAUUAUAUAAUAAUAAUAAUUUUUUGAGAUUGACAAAAAAAAAAAAAAAUAAUUUUUUGAGAUACUUAUAAAUUAUUUUUAUAUUUAUGAAUCAUUAUAGUUUAAUUAUAUUUUGAAAACUUGGAUAUUAGAGAUAGAAGUGUUUAAAGUGAUUCUACAAAUUGUUAAAUAACAAAGCCCAAUGGGCCAUUAUAGAGUGAACCAGACUAUUUCUUGAUAAGACUGUAUACCACUCUAAGUCUCUAACGCCGCUGCCCUUCCACCGUCGCCGGUACACUGAAUCGUCUUUAGCGGUAUGGAGGAAGACAUGGCAAACCGUCGAGUCUCGAGCCGUACUCGUAAGGUUGCUACGAAGAUGGCGGCAGCUCUUACAAGCACCGACAAUCGAACCCAGGUGUCUUGUCUGAUUUCGAAAUCACUUUUUGAUUUUUUUUUUCUUGGCAAUGAGACUUCGUUUGUGUUUGGUUAAUUCUAGGCUGCUAUAGCUAGGCUGGAAGCUUUAGAGAACGACAAUGGAGCCGUCGAGGUGGUUGAUUUGAACGAUGAUGAAGAAGCCUCUCUCGACGAAGACGAUGAUCUCGGUGAAUAAUCUUUAGAUACUCGCUGUGAUUAUGUAGGUCUUCUAGUUUUCAGUCAUGUGUUUGGUUUGUUGCAGGUUACGUGCAGAAGAAGCAGCAGAAAGGAUCAAAGCGUAAAACUCGACAAGCAAAAGCUUUGGAGGCUCGUAAAGCUCCCAAGUCCUUCACUGAGCUCUUGCAGGAGGUAAUGUAAUCAGCUCUUUGUUUAUCGUUUCUGCAGCUGAGAUCAAGCUAAUAUGGGUUCACUUUCAGGCAAAUUUGGAAUCUUUACCGUCGCAUGUCCCCACUUACUUGAAAGCAGCAGUGGGACCUCCGACUUCGUCUUCUCGCCGCCAUUUCUGCACGGUCUGUGGGUACAUUGCAGGAUACAAUUGCUGCUUAUGCGGGAUGCGUUUUUGUUCUAUCCGUUGCCAAAACAUUCACAAGGACACUCGUUGUCAGAAGUUUGUUGCAUAGGAGAAUAGAUGUAAAACAUUUUUUUCAAAAAUUGUACUGAAACAUCACCACAUCAACGUGUGUUUUGUCAAGAAUGAGAAUGAAAUAGCCAAACAAAAAGCAGCGACGUUUCUCUCUAACGUGUUCUUAUGAUUUAAGAGGACCAAUCAAACAUGGGACAUCUGUUGUUUGAGCUUUUCCAGUAGCUUUCUCUUAGAUCCGCAGAUUUGGUGAAACUCACGGAGGACUCUCUGUUGCGCGGUGACUGUUUUACGUGCUGAGUCUGCCUUGCUCCAUGUUUUUAGUGAUUCAAAGAUGCGGCUACCAACCUCUGACUCUUCGCUGGAUGCGAUGAAACUCUCUAGAACCCCAAGAACCUGUCCCGGUCCUUCAUUCCUCUUCAGAGUUGUCAAAAAUCUCUCCACUUGAUCAUCUUCCGGGUUGUUGAUUUGAUUCAGUAGCCAGUUAGAAACUUCUUGUACUGUGCUGCAUAAGGAAUGUAUAGAAUCUUUGAUUGCUUGAGACAUCGGGGAGGAAGGUAAAUGAUCCGAAUGUUGCGCUUUCUUCUUCUUCUUCCCAGAUGGGAGAGACGAGCGGGUGCAAGCCUGAAUUACAAGACUGUGCCAAGCCAACGGUUCAGUGAUGAUCUGAACCAAGACCUGCACAUCAGAAUAGCAAGAAUUCAUC